This is a long non-coding RNA of Vicia villosa (hairy vetch), 520 nucleotides long. RefSeq lists it as uncharacterized. Lineage: Eukaryota; Viridiplantae; Streptophyta; Magnoliopsida; Fabales; Fabaceae. The transcript has 2 exons. The record is from RefSeq and is a predicted model, not a curated record.
UUUAAAAAUGGUGUUUAGAAUUUCAUAAAUGCUAAACGUUAUUUUAUUGUAUGAAUUUGUGGUCGAAUCAUAUCAUGAACUUUAUAAACUAUAAAGAGAUGAAAUCAUAUUAUGCAUCUUAUUUGAAAAGAUAAAUAGUAUGGCUAAACUUUUCAAGUGUGUUUAUGUUAUGAAUCUCUUACUUUUCUUAUGUUUUGUUAUCGUAAAGGAUGGUGGUGAGGAUUAUAAAUGUAACAAUGAUGGCGAUUGUCCACAUUCACUGGACAAGUUUUAUUUAUACAAGUGCAUUGCUCUGAAAUGUAAGGAGGUGAGGCAUUGGUUUUAGAUAAAUAACCAUUAAUGAUGGUUUAGUUAUUAUCUUAGGACCCAAUAUUAUUUUCUUUUCCCAAUUUUAAGAAUCUUGCAUUAAUGAUUAUGUAAUCUAAGAUGUUAAAGAGGUAUACUUUAUGAUAUAAGAAACAAAAUUAUUUUUUUAAUUCAUUAUUAAUAAUGAAUAUAUCUAAUCCAUAUAUUGACCAAA